RNAcentral lists this ribosomal RNA (497 nucleotides) under uncultured bacterium. Its description in RNAcentral is "partial 16S ribosomal RNA". It matches the Rfam family "Bacterial small subunit ribosomal RNA", at positions 28 to 507 of the family's 1533-position model. The record is from RNAcentral.
GAUGAACGCUGGCGGCGUGCCUAAUACAUGCAAGUCGAGCGAACGGACGAGAAGCUUGCUUCUCUGAUGUUAGCGGCGGACGGGUGAGUAACACGUGGAUAACCUACCUAUAAGACUGGGAUAACUUCGGGAAACCGGAGCUAAUACCGGAUAAUAUUUUGAACCGCAUGGUUCAAAAGUGAAAGACGGUCUUGCUGUCACUUAUAGAUGGAUCAGCGCUGCAUUAGCUAGUUGGUAAGGUAACGGCUUACCAAGGCAACGAUGCAUAGCCGACCUGAGAGGGUGAUCGGCCACACUGGAACUUAGACACGGUCCAGACUCCUACGGGAGGCAGCAGUAGGGAAUCUUCCGCAAUGGGCGAAAGCCUGACGGAGCAACGCCGCGUGAGUGAUGAAGGUCUUCGGAUCGUAAAACUCUGUUAUUAGGGAAGAACAUAUGUGUAAGUAACUGUGCACAUCUUGACGGUACCUAAUCAGAAAGCCACGGCUAACUACGUG